RNAcentral lists this ribosomal RNA (804 nucleotides) under uncultured Actinomycetes bacterium. RNAcentral's name for it is "bacterial SSU rRNA". It matches the Rfam family "Bacterial small subunit ribosomal RNA", at positions 59 to 865 of the family's 1533-position model. Lineage: Bacteria; Bacillati; Actinomycetota; Actinomycetes. The record is from RNAcentral.
CAGUCGAACGAGGUCCAUCCAGUAGCAAUACUGGGGAAGACCUAGUGGCGAACGGGUGAGUAACACGUGAGGAACCUGCCCCGAAGACCGGGAUAACGCUCCGAAAGGAACGCUAAUACCGGAUACCUUCACCAGACCGCAUGAUCCGGUGAAGAAAUGGAUUCCGCUUCGGGAGGGUCUCGCGGCCUAUCAGCUUGUUGGUGGGGUAACGGCCCACCAAGGCUUCGACGGGUAGCUGGUCUGAGAGGACGAUCAGCCACACUGGGACUGAGACACGGCCCAGACUCCUACGGGAGGCAGCAGUGGGGAAUCUUGCGCAAUGGGCGAAAGCCUGACGCAGCAACGCCGCGUGGGGGAUGAAGGCUCUCGGGUCGUAAACCCCUUUCAGCAGGGACGAAACUGACGGUACUUGCAGAAGAAGCCCCGGCCAACUACGUGCCAGCAGCCGCGGUAACACGUAGGGGGCAAGCGUUGUCCGGAUUUAUUGGGCGUAAAGAGCUCGUAGGUGGUUCGGUAAGUCAGGUGUGAAACCUCCAGGGCUCAACCUGGAGACGCCACUUGAUACUGCUGUGACUGGAGUCCGGUAGGGGGAGCGUGGAAUUCCUGGUGUAGCGGUGAAAUGCGCAGAUUUCAGGAGGAACACCAGCGGCGAAGGCGGCGCUUUGGGCCGGUACUGACACUGAGGAGCGAAAGCGUGGGUAGCAAACAGGAUUAGAUACCCCUGGUAGUCCACGCCGUUAACGUUGGGCACUAGGUGUGGGUCUCAACCAACGGGGAUCUGGUGCCGUACCUAACGCAUUUAAU